This 76-nucleotide transfer RNA is filed under the name Actinoplanes regularis. RNAcentral describes it as "tRNA-Glu". The record is from RNAcentral. Lineage: Bacteria; Bacillati; Actinomycetota; Actinomycetes; Micromonosporales; Micromonosporaceae.
GCCCGGGGAGGUCCUCAGCGUUGGGGACAGGCACGAUCUCGACGUGCUGGCGGCCCGCGCAGCCGGGCUGCGGGCG